AGAAUCAACGCUGGCGGCGUGCCUAACACAUGCAAGUCGAACGAGAAAGUGGUAGCAAUACCACGAGUAAAGUGGCGCACGGGUGAGUAACACGUGACUAACCUACCCUGGAGUGGGGGAUAACUGAGGGAAACCUUAGCUAAUACCGCAUAAUACCCACGGGUCAAAGGAGCAAUUCGCUCUGGGAGGGGGUCGCGGCCGAUUAGUUAGUUGGCGGGGUAAUGGCCCACCAAGACUGUGAUCGGUAUCCGGCCUGAGAGGGCGCACGGACACACUGGAACUGAAACACGGUCCAGACUCCUACGGGAGGCAGCAGUGGGAUUUGCGCAAUGGGGGAAACCCUGACGCAGCAACGCCGCGUGGAGGAUGAAAUCCCUUGGGAUGUAAACUCCUUUCGAUAGGGAAGAUAAUGACGGUACCUAUAGAAGAAGCCCCGGCUAACUUCGUGCCAGCAGCCGC
This 459-nucleotide ribosomal RNA is filed under the name uncultured bacterium. RNAcentral describes it as "SSU rRNA". It matches the Rfam family "Bacterial small subunit ribosomal RNA", at positions 26 to 518 of the family's 1533-position model. The record is from RNAcentral.